This 795-nucleotide ribosomal RNA is filed under the name uncultured bacterium. RNAcentral's name for it is "bacterial SSU rRNA". It matches the Rfam family "Bacterial small subunit ribosomal RNA", at positions 10 to 794 of the family's 1533-position model. The record is from RNAcentral.
AGUUUGAUCAUGGCUCAGAUUGAACGCUGGCGGCAGGCCUAACACAUGCAAGUCGAGCGGUAGCACAAGAGAGCUUGCUCUCUGGGUGACGAGCGGCGGACGGGUGAGUAAUGUCUGGGAAACUGCCUGAUGGAGGGGGAUAACUACUGGAAACGGUAGCUAAUACCGCAUAACGUCUUCGGACCAAAGUGGGGGACCUUCGGGCCUCACGCCAUCAGAUGUGCCCAGAUGGGAUUAGCUAGUAGGUGGGGUAAUGGCUCACCUAGGCGACGAUCCCUAGCUGGUCUGAGAGGAUGACCAGCCACACUGGAACUGAGACACGGUCCAGACUCCUACGGGAGGCAGCAGUGGGGAAUAUUGCACAAUGGGCGCAAGCCUGAUGCAGCCAUGCCGCGUGUGUGAAGGAGGCCUUCGGGUUGUAAAGCACUUUCAGCGAGGAGGAAGGGUAGUGUGUUAAUAGCACAUUGCAUUGACGUUACUCGCAGAAGAAGCACCGGCUAACUCCGUGCCAGCAGCCGCGGUAAUACGGAGGGUGCAAGCGUUAAUCGGAAUUACUGGGCGUAAAGCGCACGCAGGCGGUUUGUUAAGUCAGAUGUGAAAUCCCCGCGCUUAACGUGGGAACUGCAUUUGAAACUGGCAAGCUAGAGUCUUGUAGAGGGGGGUAGAAUUCCAGGUGUAGCGGUGAAAUGCGUAGAGAUCUGGAGGAAUACCGGUGGCGAAGGCGGCCCCCUGGACAAAGACUGACGCUCAGGUGCGAAAGCGUGGGGAGCAAACAGGAUUAGAUACCCCGGUAGU